This is a non-coding RNA of Pelobates cultripes (western spadefoot toad), 149 nucleotides long. The record is from the annotation of a GenBank genome assembly. Lineage: Eukaryota; Metazoa; Chordata; Amphibia; Anura; Pelobatidae.
GUAUAUUGGAUCAGAAGCAGACCCUCCCCCCCAGACCCUCCCACCUCCUGGACAGCAUCCAUUUUACAUUCAUUGUGAAGCUGCAUUCUUAGUGAGCUGUCCAGGAGGUGGGAGGGUCUGGGAGGGAGGGUCUGCUGCUGAUUGGCUGG